AAGCCUGCGUCCUAUUAGCUAGUUGGUAAGGUAAUGGCUUACCAAGGCUAUGAUGGGUAGCCGGCCUGAGAGGGUGAACGGCCACACUGGGACUGAGAUACGGCCCAGACUCCUACGGGAGGCAGCAGUAGGGAAUAUUGCGCAAUGGGCGAAAGCCUGACGCAGCGACACCGUGUGGAGGAUGAAGGUCCUCGGAUCGUAAACUCCUGUCAAUUGGGGACCUGACGGUACCUAAUAGGAAGUCUCGGCUAACUCCGUGCCAGCAGCCGCGGUAAGACGGAGGGGGCAAGCGUUGUCCGGAAUCAUUGGGCGUAAAGAGCGCGUAGGCGGCUUUUCAAGUCAUGUGUGAAAACUUCAGGCUCAACUUGAAGAUUGCAUAUGAAACUGGAAAACUAGAGUACGGCAGAGGAAAGUGGAAUUCCUGGUGUAGCGGUGAAAUGCGCAGAU
RNAcentral lists this ribosomal RNA (447 nucleotides) under uncultured bacterium. RNAcentral describes it as "bacterial SSU rRNA". It matches the Rfam family "Bacterial small subunit ribosomal RNA", at positions 227 to 695 of the family's 1533-position model. The record is from RNAcentral.